Long non-coding RNA from Thunnus maccoyii (southern bluefin tuna), 625 nucleotides. RefSeq lists it as uncharacterized. The transcript is spliced from 2 exons. The record is from RefSeq and is a predicted model, not a curated record. Lineage: Eukaryota; Metazoa; Chordata; Actinopteri; Scombriformes; Scombridae.
CUGAUGAGAAACAGAGAGAAACAACACAAACACUGUGUGACAACUGUUGUCUUCUCUGGGGGUGAAGAUAUGAUUUCUGAUUCUCUGUACCUGGUUCCUUCUUGGCAGUUAGCAGACCACAGUGGUUCAUCUUUGCACCUGUGCAACAAUUAACAAGGACAUACAAAGACGUAAUUCUGCCGUGAUCAAGAAUGACAAUACUGUACAUCAUAGACAUUGAUCAACAAUUAAAAUAAAAGACGGAUUUCCUGUUUCUUUUUUUAAAAAAAAUUCACAUGAAUGUCACAAAAAUCAUUUCCUAAUUAUAAUUAUAACCAAUUACUAUUGAUUUCCGAAUGAAUGGGUAUUUGGCGCUAUUUUUGGCAUUAAAAAAAUACUCUUUUGGCCUGAUGGAAACGUUAAAAGGUGAAAAGAGGAGAGGAGCGUAUGACCACUGACUGAAUGUGACAAUAUUAACAAUAAUAUACUAUUGAUGAUGCAUUAUUAUGUGUUAAAUGCUAUUUUUUUCUUUUUUUCGUUCUGAGAAAAGCAAAACAUUACGACAUAAUUGCGACGUCUCCAUAUGCCCUUAAUACGCUGUAGUCAUGCUGUAUCAGUACAUAAAUAAAUCUGCCAACACUCCCGA